AUGAAAGAAGUGACCGGGCUCAGGCCCUUGGCUGAGAAGCUGAGAAGACUCAAGGCUGCCUCGGUCUCUGCUCCCUGUGAGCGCCAGCCUCCCCAGGCUCCUCUUUGGGCCCUGGCCCAGCAAAGGCGGCUCAUGAGGAAACAGCCGGGGCCCCUUUGCCCUGACAGCUCAUUCCCUUCUCGAAGCUCUCCCCAGGGCCCCCAGCAGGCUCAGGCUCUCAACAGGCUGUGGCCCACAGUGCCUCGGUGCAAGCUGCUGCCCCGGAUGCUCCUUCUCCUGUUUCCUGACUUGAGCUUCACCACUCGCUCCACAUUCCCCACCAACUACUGGUCCCUGGGCCCUGCCCAGGCGCCCAGCUACGGCACCCAGCCGGUCAGCAGUGCGGCCAGCGUCUAUGCAGGCACCGGGAACUCUGGUUCCAGGAUCUCCGUGUCCCGCUCUACCAGCUUCCGGGGCGGCACGGGGUCCGGGGGCCUGGCCGUGGGGAUAACUGGGGGUCUGGCAGGAAUGGGAGGCAUCCAGAACAAGGAGACCAUGCAAAGCCUGAACGACUGCUGGCCUCCUUCCUGGACAGAGUGAGGCAACUGGAGACCAAGAACCGGAAGCUGGAGAGCAAAAUCCGGGAGCACCUGGAGAAGAAGGGACCCCAGGUCAGAGACUGCAGCCAUUACUUCAAGACCAUCAAGGACCUGAGGGCUCAGAGCUUGGCAAUUACCGUGGACAAUGCCUGCAUUGUUCUGCAGAUCGACAAGACCCGUCUUGCUGCUGAUGACUUGAGAGUCAAGUAUGAGACAGAGCUGGCCAUGUGCCAGUCUGUGGAGAGCAACAUCCAUGGACUCCGCAAGGUCACUGAUGACACCAAUGUCACUCGGCUGCAGCUGGAGACAGAGAUCGAGGCUCUCAAGGAGGAGCUGCUCUUCAUGAAGAAGAACCACAAAGAGGAAGUAAAAGGCCUACAAGCCCAGAUUGCCAGCUCUGGGUUGACCGUGGAGGUAGAUCCCCAAAUCUCAGGACCUCGCCAAGAUCAUGGCAGCCAUCCGGGCCCAAUAUGAUGAGCUGGCUUGGAAGAACAGAAAGGAGCUGGACAGGUACUUGUCUCAGCAGAUUGAGGAGAGCACCACAGUGGUCACCAUGCAGUCUGCCAAGGCUGGAGCUGCUGAGAUGACGCUCACAGAGCUGAGAUGUACAGUCCAGUCCUUGGAGAUCGACCUGGACUCCAUGAGAAAUCUGAAAGCCAGCUUGGAGGACCGCCUGAGGGAGGUGAAGGCCUGCUACACCUUGCAGAUGGAGCAGCUCAACAAGAUCCUGCUGCACCUGGGGUCAGAGCUGGCACAGAUCUGGGCAGAGGGACAGUGCCAGGCCCAGGAGUACGAGGCCCUGUUGAACAUCAAGGUCAAGCUGGAGGCUGAGAUCACCACCUACUGCCACCUGCUGGAAGAUGGCGAGGACUUCAAUCUUGGUGAUGCCCUGGACAGCAGCAACUCCAUGCAAACCAGUCAAAAGACCACCAUCCACCAGAGAGUGGAUGGCAAAGUGGUGCCUGAGACCAACGACACGGAAGUUCUGAGACACUAA
RNA transcript from Nomascus leucogenys (northern white-cheeked gibbon), 1575 nucleotides. It is a transcript of the gene named keratin, type I cytoskeletal 18 pseudogene, with no coding region annotated. The transcript is spliced from 3 exons. Lineage: Eukaryota; Metazoa; Chordata; Mammalia; Primates; Hylobatidae. The record is from RefSeq and is a predicted model, not a curated record.